RNAcentral lists this ribosomal RNA (433 nucleotides) under uncultured bacterium. Its description in RNAcentral is "partial 16S ribosomal RNA". It matches the Rfam family "Bacterial small subunit ribosomal RNA", at positions 29 to 507 of the family's 1533-position model. The record is from RNAcentral.
AACGAACGCUGGCGGCAUGCCUAAUACAUGCAAGUCGAACGAGACCUUCGGGUCUAGUGGCGCACGGGUGCGUAACGCGUGGGAACCUGCCCUUAGGUUCGGAAUAACUCCCCGAAAGGGGUGCUAAUACCGGAUAAUGUCUUCGGACCAAAGAUUUAUCGCCUUUGGAUGGGCCCGCGUUGGAUUAGCUAGUUGGUAGGGUAAAAGCCUACCACGGCGACGAUCCAUAGCUGGUCUGAGAGGAUGAUCAGCCACACUGGGACUGAGACGCGGCCCAGACUCCUACGCGAGGCAGCAGUGGGGAAUAGUGGACAAUGGGGGAAAGCCUGAUCCAGCAAUGCCGCGUGAGUGAUGAAGGCCGUAGGGUUGUAAAGCGCUUUUACCCGUGAUGAUAAUGACAGUACCGGGAGAAUAAGCUCCGGCUAACUCCGUG